RNAcentral lists this long non-coding RNA (602 nucleotides) under Monodelphis domestica (gray short-tailed opossum). RNAcentral describes it as "lncRNA (ENSMODG00000047500.1)". Lineage: Eukaryota; Metazoa; Chordata; Mammalia; Didelphimorphia; Didelphidae. The record is from RNAcentral.
AUAUGGCUGGAGGCAGCUUGCUGAGCAGUCUUGGCAUCUUGGCAUGUUGGCAGCUAUUGUCUGCUUUAGCGCCAAGUUUUGGAGUCAUUGCAUGCUUGCAAAAGGUAUCGUUCCCAAACCCCAAGGGUAUCCUUCCAUGCCCAUAAUAUUUUGACGCCCAACGUGGUUUUUGGCUCUCCUGAAAGCUACUCCUGUACCCCGGAUCAUCCACGAGGACACAGCUUCUCAGGUAGGAAAGGAGCCUUUUCUUUGACUCCUGAAACCCCCAUCUUUUGGGUGAUAUCUUUGUGGGAACUCUUUCGUGCUCUCUCUCCCAUCGGCCCCAGAUCAGUCUGGCCACUGGAGUCUGGGGUCUAUCUGUCGGCUCCCCGUUAUACUGGAAGAUGGUUCCAAGUUGUGUGGGAAGUCUUGCUGCCUCAGUUUUCAACUGAGUGAUCACCUCACUACUGGAACUGAGUGCUUUUGGUCGGGCAACCUAUGGACGCAUAGUUGUUGACCCUCCGUGUAGAAUUGGCCAAUUCUGCAUCUAAAUGGGACAGAGACAGAGUACCCCAAGAUUCCCCUUUGGGGCGUAUACUUAAAAAUUGGAAAAAAAUUGGCAC